RNAcentral lists this small RNA (30 nucleotides) under Bombyx mori (domestic silkworm). RNAcentral describes it as "ovarian small RNA-8530". The record is from RNAcentral. Lineage: Eukaryota; Metazoa; Arthropoda; Insecta; Lepidoptera; Bombycidae.
UGCAUUCACGACAAGGUCCUAAGCGACAGU